Molecule: transfer RNA, 70 nt
Filed under: bacterium
Lineage: Bacteria
Description: tRNA-OTHER
Rfam family: tRNA
About the family: Transfer RNA (tRNA) molecules are approximately 80 nucleotides in length.
Source: RNAcentral
CGGAACGUAACUCAGUUGGUAGAGUAGCUAAACUAUUAGAUUGUCGCAGGUUCGAGUCCUGCCGUUCCGA